CGACCGCGACCCCAGGU
This 17-nucleotide ribosomal RNA is filed under the name Brachyglottis sciadophila. RNAcentral's name for it is "partial 28S ribosomal RNA". RNAcentral also lists the same sequence under 1 other name. The record is from RNAcentral. Lineage: Eukaryota; Viridiplantae; Streptophyta; Magnoliopsida; Asterales; Asteraceae.